GCAUAAUAAUAAAGUACAACUUCGGUAUACUUUGUGAAUUGGCUUUUACAAAAGACCAAAACAUGAAGUAUACUGAAGUCGUACUUUAUUACAACUAAAAAUGGUUUGUGAA
Pongo abelii (Sumatran orangutan) is the source of this 112-nucleotide microRNA precursor. Lineage: Eukaryota; Metazoa; Chordata; Mammalia; Primates; Hominidae. The record is from Ensembl.